GGUUAGGAUUUGAGAGCUAGCUUGAAGUUCUUUCCAGAGACAUAAGAAUUGUUUUGAGAGGGUUUUGGAAGACUUAGCAAUUGUUAUUCAAAGUCAGGGUUUGUAUCAAUGAUUUGGAUUUUAUAUAAUAUAAUUAGGGCUAGCAAUUUUGGCUAGUUUGUGCAAUAGGUGCAACAUCUAUAGUUGAAAACUUGAAACUAUUUGGAUUAUUGGGUGAGCUAAGUGUAUACAAAUUUUUGUGAUAAUCUAAUGGCUUGGUUUAGAGAUAUCUAGUUUUUAGGACAAGAGGGUUUUGGAAGGUGGCAGUUUGAGGUUGGAUAGGAUUUCUAUGAUAUCUGAAGAUUUAUUAGUCGGAUUAAGGUGAAAAUUGGCAUGGUAUU
RNAcentral lists this long non-coding RNA (380 nucleotides) under Physcomitrium patens. Its description in RNAcentral is "long non-coding RNA (PPAT_LNC007430)". Lineage: Eukaryota; Viridiplantae; Streptophyta; Bryopsida; Funariales; Funariaceae. The record is from RNAcentral.